UGUAAGCGUAUACCAAAGUUGUUGCAGUUAAAACGCUCGUAGUCGGAAUUUGGCAGUUCCGGAUGUGUGCACGUCGUGUGCGCACUUCGCGGGGAUUGCUUUUGUGGUCUUGCGUAGGAUGAGGCACUUUUAUUAGUGAACGUCCUCACGCAACCACUUUUUACUGUGAGAAAAUCAGAGUGCUCAAAGCAGGCACUUGCCGUGAAUGUAUUAGCAUGGAAUAAUAGAAUAGGACUUGGUUCUAUUUUGUUGGUUUGUUGGGACUGAGUAAUGAUUAAGAGGGACAGUUGGGGGCAUUUGUAUUUCGGUGCUAGAGGUGAAAUUCUUAGAUUACCGAAAGACAAACUGCUGCGAAAGCGUCUGCCAAGGAUGUUUUCAUUGA
RNAcentral lists this ribosomal RNA (382 nucleotides) under uncultured eukaryote. RNAcentral's name for it is "partial 18S ribosomal RNA". It matches the Rfam family "Eukaryotic small subunit ribosomal RNA", at positions 592 to 976 of the family's 1831-position model. The record is from RNAcentral.